RNAcentral lists this ribosomal RNA (485 nucleotides) under uncultured bacterium. RNAcentral's name for it is "partial 16S ribosomal RNA". It matches the Rfam family "Bacterial small subunit ribosomal RNA", at positions 28 to 523 of the family's 1533-position model. The record is from RNAcentral.
GACGAACGCUGGCGGCGUGCUUAACACAUGCAAGUCGAACGAUGAAGCCGGAGCUUGCUCUGGUGAAUUAGUGGCGAACGGGUGAGUAACACGCGAGUAACCUGCCCUUGCCUCUGGGAUAACUGCGGGAAACUGUAGCUAAUACCGGAUAUGACCUCCUUGGGCAUCCUUGGAGGUGGAAAGUUUUUCGGUGAGGGAUGGGCCCGCGGCCUAUCAGCUUGUGGGUGAGGUAGUGGCGCACCAAGGCGACGACGGGGAGCCGGGCGGAGAGGGCGACCGGCCACACUGGGACUGAGACACGGCCCAGACUCCUACGGGAGGCAGCAGUGGGGAAUAUUGCGCAAUGGGCGAAAGCCUGACGCAGCAACGCCGCGUGCGGGAUGACGGCCUUCGGGUUGUAAACCGCUUUCAGCAGGGAAGAAGCCGCAAGGUGACGGUACCUGCAGAAGAAGCACCGGCUAACUACGUGCCAGCAGCCGCCGUAA